RNAcentral lists this ribosomal RNA (502 nucleotides) under uncultured bacterium. RNAcentral describes it as "bacterial SSU rRNA". It matches the Rfam family "Bacterial small subunit ribosomal RNA", at positions 43 to 518 of the family's 1533-position model. The record is from RNAcentral.
CGUGCCUAAUACAUGCAAGUCGAACGGUCUUUCUAUGGAAGCUUGCUUCCACUGAGAAGAUAGUGGCGAACGGGUGAGUAUCACGUGGGUAACCUGCCCAUAAGAGGGGGAUAACAUCCGGAAACGGGUGCUAAUACCGCAUAGUUUUCUUGAUCGCAUGAUUGAGAAAGGAAAGACGGCCUUUGUGCUGUCGCUUAUGGAUGGACCCGCGGCGUAUUAGUUAGUUGGUGAGGUAAUGGCUCACCAAGACGAUGAUACGUAGCCGACCUGAGAGGGUGAUCGGCCACAUUGGGACUGAGACACGGCCCAAACUCCUACGGGAGGCAGCAGUAGGGAAUCUUCCGCAAUGGACGAAAGUCUGACGGAGCAACGCCGCGUGAGUGAAAGAAGGUUUUCGGAUCGUAAAACUCUGUUGUCAGAGAAGAACAAGUUGGAGAGUAACUGCUCCAGCCUUGACGGUAUCUGACCAGAAAGCCACGGCUAACUACGUGCCAGCCGCGGC